UUUAUGGAGAGUUUGAUCCUGGCUCAGAGUGAACGCUGGCGGCGUGCCUAAUACAUGCAAGUCGAACGAUGAAGCUUCUAGCUUGCUAGAGUGCUGAUUAGUGGCGCACGGGUGAGUAACGCAUAGGUCAUGUGCCUCUUAGUUUGGGAUAGCCAUUGGAAACGAUGAUUAAUACCAGAUACUCCCUACGGGGGAAAGAUUUAUCGCUAAGAGAUCAGCCUAUGUCCUAUCAGCUUGUUGGUAAGGUAAUGGCUUACCAAGGCUAUGACGGGUAUCCGGCCUGAGAGGGUGAACGGACACACUGGAACUGAGACACGGUCCAGACUCCUACGGGAGGCAGCAGUAGGGAAUAUUGCUCAAUGGGGGAAACCCUGAAGCAGCAACGCCGCGUGGAGGAUGAAGGUUUUAGGAUUGUAAACUCCUUUUGUUAGAGAAGAUAAUGACGGUAUCUAACGAAUAAGCACCGGCUAACUCCGUGCCAGCAGCCCGGUAAUACGGAGGGUGCAAGCGUUACUCGGAAUCACUGGGCGUAAAGAGCGCGUAGGCGGGAUAGUCAGUCAGGUGUGAAAUCCUAUGGCUUAACCAUAGAACUGCAUUUGAAACUACUAUUCUAGAGUGUGGGAGAGGUAGGUGGAAUUCUUGGUGUAGGGGUAAAAUCCGUAGAGAUCAAGAGGAAUACUCAUUGCGAAGGCGACCUGCUGGAACAUUACUGACGCUGAUUGCGCGAAAGCGUGGGGAGCAAACAGGAUUAGAUACCCUGGUAGUCCACGCCCUAAACGAUGGAUGCUAGUUGUUGGAGGGCUUAGUCUCUCCAGUAAUGCAGCUAACGCAUUAAGCAUCCCGCCUGGGGAGUACGGUCGCAAGAUUAAAACUCAAAGGAAUAGACGGGGACCCGCACAAGCGGUGGAGCAUGUGGUUUAAUUCGAAGAUACACGAAGAACCUUACCUAGGCUUGACAUUGAGAGAAUCCGCUAGAAAUAGUGGAGUGUCUGGCUUGCCAGACCUUGAAAACAGGUGCUGCACGGCUGUCGUCAGCUCGUGUCGUGAGAUGUUGGGUUAAGUCCCGCAACGAGCGCAACCCCCUUUCUUAGUUGCUAACAGGUUAUGCUGAGAACUCUAAGGAUACUGCCUCCGUAAGGAGGAGGAAGGUGGGGACGACGUCAAGUCAUCAUGGCCCUUACGCCUAGGGCUACACACGUGCUACAAUGGGGUGUACAAAGAGAAGCAAUACUGCGAAGUGGAGCCAAUCUUCAAAACACCUCUCAGUUCGGAUUGUAGGCUGCAACUCGCCUGCAUGAAGCUGGAAUCGCUAGUAAUCGCAAAUCAGCCAUGUUGCGGUGAAUACGUUCCCGGGUCUUGUACUCACCGCCCGUCACACCAUGGGAGUUGUGUUUGCCUUAAGUCAGGAUGCUAAAUUAGCUACUGCCCACGGCACACACAGCGACUGGGGUGAAGUCGUAACAAGGUAACCGUAGGUGAACCUGCGGUUGGAUCACCUCCU
This 1501-nucleotide ribosomal RNA is filed under the name Helicobacter pylori B128. RNAcentral's name for it is "bacterial SSU rRNA". It matches the Rfam family "Bacterial small subunit ribosomal RNA". The record is from RNAcentral. Lineage: Bacteria; Pseudomonadati; Campylobacterota; Epsilonproteobacteria; Campylobacterales; Helicobacteraceae.